AGACAUGGACGACGCGAGUCAAAAUGUAGUAUCUGUUCUUAUCAGCUUAAUAUCUGAUACGGGCUGUAUUUGGACCCAAGAUAUUAAACUUAUUUUUGCAAGUUGGCGGAGUGCUUGAAGCCUGCUUCACCUCCGCUGCGGGUCGGCCCGGUAUUGCAUUAUCUUCGGGAUCGGCCCACGGUUU
This 184-nucleotide small nuclear RNA is filed under the name Dermacentor silvarum. Its description in RNAcentral is "U2 spliceosomal RNA". It matches the Rfam family "U2 spliceosomal RNA". Rfam says of the family: U2 is a small nuclear RNA (snRNA) component of the spliceosome (involved in pre-mRNA splicing). Complementary binding between U2 snRNA (in an area lying towards the 5' end but 3' to hairpin I) and the branchpoint sequence (BPS) of the intron results the bulging out of an unpaired adenosine, on the BPS, which initiates a nucleophilic attack at the intronic 5' splice site, thus starting the first of two transesterification reactions that mediate splicing. Lineage: Eukaryota; Metazoa; Arthropoda; Arachnida; Ixodida; Ixodidae. The record is from RNAcentral.